RNAcentral lists this long non-coding RNA (371 nucleotides) under Hordeum vulgare. RNAcentral's name for it is "long non-coding RNA (HVUL_LNC001676)". The record is from RNAcentral. Lineage: Eukaryota; Viridiplantae; Streptophyta; Magnoliopsida; Poales; Poaceae.
CCAUGUUAUGAUUGUCUCUACGAAACACUUGGCAGUCAACUUUCAUAAAUAGCACAUUGAAACCAAAGUCUGCUAGUCUAGAUACGGAAAGAAGAUUAUAGUCAAGGGAUUCAACAAGCAUGGCAUUUUGAAUGGAACUAUCAUGAGAUAUGGCCACCUUACCAAGACCAAGUACCUUACCCUUGGAGUUGUCUCCAAAGGUCACAUACCUUCGAGGUCCAUGGUUUAGUGUCAUCUUAUGGAACAUGUCUUUAUCUCCGAUCAUGUGAUCAGUGCAUCCACUGUGAAGAACCACUCCUUACCUCCAGCCAUGUAGUCUCCAAGGUUCACCUUAAGACUAAGAUUCCUCAUGGUCUUAUCAUACUUGAUGC